CAGAGUCUAACGAUACGGAGUCUAACCUCAAAAACGAGGUUUUUUGAAUUAUUUAUAAAAAAUAAAAACUUAAUUAAACAAGGAUUCUAUUUGCUGGAAAUCUGCCAAAACGCGGCUGGGUCGACGGACCUCGCGACGGAUCGUCGUGGUCACGACGAACCGUCAUGGACUCCGUCAUCCCAUACUUAUGCAAUUUCUUCUGCUUCUCUCUUCAUUACCCUCGAUGGCAAGUAUGACGGACCGUCAUAGGCAUAACGGUCCGUCGAGGGUCUUCGUUCCACGGUAUAUCACAAGUCAACAUGCAUAUCAACAUAAUUGAGUGCAUAAUCAAGACAACUCUAUCAUCAAGUUAUAAUAUCAACAAGUAUGUAUAAGAGUUCAUAACAUAAUAACCAAAACAAGACCAUCACUCAUACACCCCUAUUAAGUUCGCUAGUGCAAUGUCCAAGUAAGGCCCCAUAACCUCACUCAACCAAGUAUACUCAGCAAGAACCAUAAGCAACACCCAACUUCACAUAUCGUAUCAUUAAGACUAAACAUCACCAUACUUUGACAAUAGAGACUAACCACAUGUUCAUAAGUGAAACCAAUAUAAUGGCAUUAACAUGUUGUAUCAACAUAUACACAUCAUUUACAUUUAUAAGCAUAUAAUCAUAUAGGAACAUCCUUUUAAGACUCCCUUCAAGGAUAACUAGUGCAAUGUAUAGCUAGAGUCCCAUACCCCUACCUAGACUAAGUCAAACCCUUCAAGUCAUCCUAGUUAGAAUUCACUUUAUUACUUCAUUUUACUUUUGGGAACAUCUUGCCUUAACUGACAUAGACCAUAUGAGCCAAUGUGAAAUUCGGUGUCGUGAAACCCUACACCAAAGGAAGGUAGAUUACUUGUCAAGGUAGUAUCAAAACAUGAACAUAGCACAUAUGUGGAUCCACUAGCUAGUUUUCCUAUGUGGACAAUAUAGUUCAAGAACUAGGAGAUAUAGUUGGGACCCUCUUUAUGCUACAUGCAUUAUAGUCUCCAAUCUCAUAAGUACAUUAGUUUUCCUAUCUUACCUAUGUGGGAAGAGAUGCUCCUCACUGCUAGUUCACUCGGUUCUAAGUUAGAGUCCCUUUUGAAAUGUCUUUCAUUAAUAAUCAUAACUUAGUUUAGGUCAUAGGGUCUACUCCUUAUAUAGUCAUAGUCAUAGCUCAAAAGGAAUUGCAUGAGAACACCUUUCAUUACAACCCUCAUAUGUGAGAUUAGCACAUUAACGUCAUUAUAUCGUACUAAGGCACAUAGGUACUUCAUCACCAACCUUAUAUCAAUACAUCUUAAGCAUAAUCUAACAAUCACAUAAUCAAGACAUUCUAAUUCAACAGCAUACCAACCCUAAUCAAUCUUAUCAUAAGGUAUACUUCAAUAUAACUUCAUCACUAAACACAAGUAAUCAUCUCCUUCACAAGCAAUCAUCAAGGUCUUACAAUCAACCAUCCAAUUCAACUCAACAAUGGGUGUAAUAUCAUCACACAAUAGUAAUUAACACAAUAAUAAAGUCAAUGGAAUCACUACACAAUAAUUCAUCACUAGUUCAUAGCCUAGGGUUACGAACUUAGGUCAAAUUCAUGAUCUACAUCACAACCUAGGUUAAUUAAUCAAUAAUUAGCAUAAUUGAUUACAAUACAUCAUAAUAUACUCAUAAUUAUUCAAAUAAAUCGUAAACAAAGCCAAUUAGAGGAUCAAUUUCGUAAUAGAAGAAAACCCAUCUAAAACUCUUCUUUUCGAAAUCAAUUUGAAGGAACCCUUUUGGAAAAGAAAUUCCAAAGGUGAAAGGAAUAUCAUACCAUACUAAUUGAUGAAUUUUGAUGGAAAAUAGCCUCCUUCUUGCAGCCCUAGAACCCUCCUUUGUU
Molecule: long non-coding RNA, 1884 nt
Filed under: Solanum lycopersicum (tomato)
Lineage: Eukaryota; Viridiplantae; Streptophyta; Magnoliopsida; Solanales; Solanaceae
Description: long non-coding RNA (SLYC_LNC000891)
Source: RNAcentral